CUGUGGCCAGAGGGGUGGAGUCAUGUGGCUCCAACAUGGCAGUCCAAACCACAUAGAGGCUGAGGACUUUUCUCAGAAAGGGAAGACCAGCCAAAAGAACAUAGAAAGGUAGAGGAACGAUUCUUCCUGUGAGCAGAAUACAUCACCGGCUAGACACUGCUCACCUCGAAGCUGCUGUGGUAGAAAGAUCCUGGGACCGCUAACAUGAGCCGAUGAAAAAAGGUAAGAUUUCAGUAAUUUGCUCCAGGUCACACAGCCCUCCAGGAAACAGCAGACCCAGGAUUUAAAGUGUCGACUCUGUGAGAGUAGCCAGCUGUCUGCUUUGUUUUGAUUCCAUAUCCUCAACAUUGAGAAUAGUGCUAGGCACAUAGUAGUUGUUCAUUGAAGAUUUACUGACUGAAUAAAGAUCACCAUCGAAAGUAGAGCAUGUCUCAACGAAAAUGUAGGUCAGUAGAGAAGAGGAGCUGAGGCGGCAGCCCCUGCACCAGCCUCUCCUUGCUGUGGCUUCAUCUGAUUGACAGUCUGCUCAGCUGCACAAAGGGCAGUGAGGAAUCACUCUGCUAACAAGCUCCUUGCCCUCCAGACUCUGGGAGAAUGUUGACUGACGGGGACACAAUUAAAAGGGGAUUGAUUUAUUGAGCUGGAAUGCUCUCACUUCCCCUAAUCUCAGCAUCUCUCUGCUUCAUGCAAUCACCAUUUCCAAGCAAGAGUCCUCCUCCACAAACGAAACCCUCCUCAUCGCCAGGGCGUCCAAGGCACCUCUAGUUUACCAAAGGUAGCUCAGCCCUGGAAGCCCAUAAAGAAAAGCCACAUAAAAGAAAUCCUCUCCUGCAUCAGGCCUGGGAUAAGGAUCUGGAAUCCAGCAGGGAGGGGCGAUCUAAACAAAAAAGGUCAUCAAGUCUUUGGAAUGUUGAUGGGGAUGCCCGUGGGAUUCAAGGGAAGAAGAAAAUCUGGAUUUGAAUUCGACUCUCCCUUUGAACGGUUUCACUGAACUGAUGGUGGUCAUAUCUCAGCUCUGUGUGUGCAAACGAUUAUUUAUAAUUGUUGGGAUUUGAGGGGCACCCCAUAAACAGCAUUUCUCCUUUUCACCAGAGCUAUGAACUGAUUAAGAAAGAAACACGGUAUCAUCUUUGUUACUGAUAAAAUGGGAAAUGGAGUUUGUA
Pteropus alecto (black flying fox) is the source of this 1163-nucleotide long non-coding RNA. RefSeq lists it as uncharacterized. The record is from RefSeq and is a predicted model, not a curated record. The transcript has 6 exons. Lineage: Eukaryota; Metazoa; Chordata; Mammalia; Chiroptera; Pteropodidae.